This is a non-coding RNA of Theobroma cacao (cacao), 320 nucleotides long. Lineage: Eukaryota; Viridiplantae; Streptophyta; Magnoliopsida; Malvales; Malvaceae. The record is from RefSeq and is a predicted model, not a curated record.
AAGAUGAAAAGAGAAAGGAAAAGGAAGAAAGAAGAAAAACAAAAAAGGGAGGUUCAGUUUUAGAGGAGUUAGAGCAAAAACCGAGAGGUUUUCCUCCCCCACACAUGCCAUUGUUGGAGCUUGAAGGACAAAGUGGAGGAUCGGAUUGGUGAUUCUAAGCAAUGGAGACCGAGGAUGUAAGGAAAUGGUGAACUAUAGGUAGAAUUCAAGCUAAAACCGAGAGGAAGUGUAUAAGUAAGGAAAGGGUGCUGUGGUGGCGUGUCGAAGGAAGUAAUGGGUGACCGACAAGUAAAAUUAGCUAGAUAUUCAUCUGAAUCGGU